RNAcentral lists this ribosomal RNA (600 nucleotides) under uncultured bacterium. RNAcentral's name for it is "bacterial SSU rRNA". It matches the Rfam family "Bacterial small subunit ribosomal RNA", at positions 737 to 1340 of the family's 1533-position model. The record is from RNAcentral.
UAAUUGACGCUGAGGCACGAAAGCGUGGGGAUCAAACAGGAUUAGAUACCCUGGUAGUCCACGCAGUAAACGAUGAUAACUAACCGCUGGGAUUUCGGUUUCAGUGGCCAAGCGAAAGCGAUAAGUUAUCCACCUGGGGAGUACGACCGCAAGGUUGAAACUCAAAGGAAUUGACGGGGGCCCGCACAAGCGGAGGAACAUGUGGUUUAAUUCGAUGAUACGCGAGGAACCUUACCCGGGCUCGAACGGCUGGUGAAGCGAUCCAGAGAUGGUGACGUCCUUCGGGACACCAGUCGAGGUGCUGCAUGGUUGUCGUCAGCUCGUGCCGUGAGGUGUCGGCUCAAGUGCCAUAACGAGCGCAACCCUUGUCGUCAGUUACCAGCAUGCAAUGAUGGGGACUCUGGCGAGACUGCCACCGCAAGGUGAGAGGAAGGGGGGGAUGACGUCAAAUCAGCACGGCCCUUACGUCCGGGGCGACACACGUGUUACAAUGGCGGCCACAGAGGGGCACUACCUGGUGACAGGAUGGGAAUCUCGAAAAGCCGUCUCAGUCCGGAUCGGAGUCUGCAACCCGACUCCGUGAAGCUGGAUUCGCUAGUA